Molecule: long non-coding RNA, 5781 nt
Organism: Salvelinus fontinalis (brook trout)
Lineage: Eukaryota; Metazoa; Chordata; Actinopteri; Salmoniformes; Salmonidae
Exons: 10
Source: RefSeq, a predicted model, not a curated record
AACAGGGCACACUGUAUUCUCAAAGCCUACUCUAUCCCUGAUGCGUGGUACCGGCACUGGUGACGCCGGGCUGAGGACAAGCACAUCAGGAUUAGUAGGGGGAGAAUAUACAGUGUGUACAGGGCUCUGGAGACGCACUGGUAGCUUAGUGCGUGGGCCCGGAACUGGAGGCACCGGGCUAAAUACACGCACCACAGGGAGAGUGCGUGGAGGAGGAACAGGGCUCAGGAUACGCACUGGUAGCCUAGUGCAUAGUGUAGACACUGUAGGUACUAGGCUGGGGCGGGGAGGUGGUGCCGGAAAUACCGGACCGUGGAGGCGUACUGGCACUCUUGAGCAUUGAACCUGCCCAACCUUACCUGGUUGAAUGCUCCCGGUUGCCCGACCAGUGCGGGGAGGUGGAAUAACCCGCACCGGCCUAUGUAGGCGAACCGGGGAAACCAUGCGUAAGGCAGGUGCCAUGUAUGCCGGCCCGAGGAGACGCACUGGAGACCAGACGCGUUGAGCCGGCCUCAUGACACCUGGCUCAAUGCCCAAUCUAGCCCUCCCAGUGCGGGGAGGUGGAAUAACCCGCACCGGGCUAUGCACUCGUACAGGAGACACCGUGCGCUCUACUGCGUAACACGGCGCCUGCCCGUACUCCCGCUCUCCACGGUAAGCCCGGGAAGUGGGCGCAGGUCUCCUACCUGCCCUUGGCCCACUACCCUUUAGCCCCCCCCCAAGAAAUUUUUGGGAGUUACUCACGGGCUUUUUCGGCUUCCGUGCCAGACGCGUUCCCUCACAGCUCCGGUUCCUCUCUCCGGUAGCCUCUGCUCUCCGCAGUGCCUCCAGCUGUUCCCAUGGGAGGCGAUCUCUACCAGCUAGGAUCUCCUCCCAUGUGUAAACACCCUUUCCAUCCAACACAUCGUCCCAUGUCCAUUGCUCCUUCUUCUCCUGUCCCUUUCUCCUUUGACUCCGCUGCUUGGCUCUGGGUUGGUGGGUGAUUCUGUUAGAGCUGUCGCUCUCCUCAUCCUCAGAUGAGGUGAGGAGAGAAGGAUCUUCUGACCAAAAUGCGGAGUCUGGGAAAUAUGCCAUCUUUAUUAUAAAUUAUAAUGAUGUAGAUGGCAACACGAAAACUAAACAAAAACAAAACACUUUCAAAAGAACAAAAUAAGAAAACGACGUACAACGGAACCUGAACAUAAACUUACAUGGACAAACGUAAACUUACGAACAGGAACGAACAUCAAAACGAACGAACAGCAAAACAGCUCCAAAUGUGAAAAAACAUCGACAACACGAUAGACAUCACAGGAGACAAUCACCCACAAACACACAGUGAUAAUGCCCUACCUAAAUAUGACUCUUGAUUAGAGGAAAAUGCAAACCACCUGCCUCUAAUCAAGAGCCAUACCAGGCACACCGAAACCAACAUAGAAACAGAUAACAUAGACUGCCCACCCAAAACACAUGCCCUGACCAUAAACACAUAAAAAACAACAUAAAACAGGUCAGGACUGUUACAUUUUUACGUCAUAGAUCAUCAAUUUUGAAAGCAUGGGCUAUUUUGUUGAAUAGUUUUUUUGACAAGGUUAUGACAUGCCCAUACGUUGUUAUUUUAUAUUUUACAAUUCCAUUGCAACCUAAAUUCACUAGCCUUGAUGGUUUUAUCAAAUGUCUGCCAUGGCACCGUAGACCACUGAGUUCCCCUCAGUGACUUUCAAUCUCUGUCUCUCUCUGUCGUCUUUUGUGCAAAGCCUAUAGGUUAGUGGUAACGCUCUCAGCAAGUCACAUUAUAUUUGCAUCUUCCACCCUUCCUACUGUGCUCCCACUUUCAUCUCCCCCCUCUGUUUCCAGGUGUCUGAAUAAAGUGUACAAUUUCAAAAAUGCCUCUAUCCCUCUCCCUUUUCUUUACCUUUACAGCUGACCAGACGGCUUCCGCCAUUCAUUGAGGCUAAGACCCGCAUUUAAAAGCUUUUCAGGGACUUCUGGCUGUCCUAUGUGGUCAUGGGCUCUGACGUGGAGGGCUCGGGUCUAUGGCCAGAGAAGUGUGUGAGAUCGCCACCAAGUCUCCUCUCCUGACUUUUCCCUGCGGUGAACCACUCAGCUCUGAACUACAGUAAAACUCUGCCCCGAAGAACGAUAGUCACACCGGUACACACAAAACAGACACACACACAAAGAACAACACCGUCAGGUGGUCAAGUCAACUAACCUAAAUAAUGCCACCUGUAUCUUUAUUGGAACUCUACCUGUCCCCAUCAUUUACUUAGUUGUCCCUCUUCCUGUAAGUAUCUACUACCUGUCUGUCGUGCAGGCUGAUCUGUGAUCCACCAUCAUCAAUCUGUCGGACCCCUCCCCUGAAGAAUCUGCUCUCAUCAACAAACUAGACUUUGCCAUCUCGACAUACCUACUGUCUGUCUACAGGCUGGAGUACAUGAGGUGUGCUACCCGCUAUAGAUCUAUAUCUGCUGCUGCUGCUCUAUUACCCAUGUCCAUUUACAUACUGUCUGUAUACAGACCAGGGCCCAUAUGUAUCAAGCGUCUCAGAAUAGGAAUGCUGAUAUGGGAUCAGUUUGGGCUUUUGGAUCAUUAUACACAUUGAUUGUAUGGAAAAGCAAGGACUUGAGCCUAGAUCAGCACUCUCACAGUGAGACGCUUUAUACAUACAGCCUCAGAUCACAUGAGGUUGGAGCAGACCCUAUUUAUCCUCUCCUGGUUUAUAUUCCCCAACAUUAGGGGACUCAUAUUAGUCUCUUUCUCUCUGGUUCUGUCUCAGGAUGUUGCGUUCUAACGACGCAGACAUUUUUCCAGGUGAUGUUCCGCUCCUUUGAAAACAAAACCAUCCAGAAGGACAAAUCUGGUGGGCGUAAUGUUGUAUCUGCGUUGUAAUAUUGGUUGUAUUUAUGUAUUUUUUUGUUUCUGAUUCAACGUUUCAUCAUGUAUGAUGCAGUGUGUGAUCUGUGUCAGUGAUAAAAUCUUCGAUGUCUUCCUCCAAAUGAUGGCUGAGAAGGUAGGUGUGCUCUUAAUCACACAUGUUGCUUUGGUUAUGCUUUAUUUUACCUCCAUGUUUAAAGUGGUAUUUACAUGGUAUUUACUAAGAAAUUAUGUGCUAACAAUUGAUACUUUCUGGUACUUACCUCAAACAAUUCAACACCAUUGGUAACACGUACCAAAUGGUACAAACCUACGCUUGUGUCAAUGAAUCUCAAAGAAACUACAUUUUCAUUGAAUUGCAAUUUAAUAUGCAAAACUCUCUCAGUCCAAGACAAAAGAACAUGAGGAGAAGUUGGAACCCCACACCCAGUUCCUAUUGGUCAACUUUAACCACACCCACAAGAGGAUCCGCCGAGUGGCCGAUAAAUACCUCUCUGGAUUGGCUGAAAUGCCUGUGAGAUUGAACGGUUGACUACAUGGUACAGCCCACUGUCCACGCCGGAGUUGGCCAUCACUACAGAACAGUCCGUAGAGACCAGCAUCGCCAACUGGAGGUCCAAGUACAUCAGCCUGAGUCAGAAACAAUGGAAAGACCAUAUCAACCUGGCCUGGAGUAUAGCUCCUUAUUUGGCCCUGAAGCUGCCUGUAAGGUUUAAGAACACUGAGGCCAUUGUAGCGGAGGUGACUUGUCUGGUGUGUUUGGACCUAGCAGCUGUGUGUGACGUACCUGAGGACGUCAAGGAUGCCAUCUUGUUCUUCACUCCUCAAAUAGUUCAAGCCCUCCGCUAUCACAAGAUGGGCUAUGUGAGGGAGUACAUCCUGUGGGCGGCUCAAAGUCUCAGCGGCUUUGUCACCAGUUAAUCUGGAACAUGAAGACCAACAUCUACCUAGACGAGGAGGGACACCAGAAAGACCCUGACAAAGGGGAAUAAUUCUAACAGAUGGUCGAGGUGCUCUAACCGGUGCUCUCACUGGUGCUCUAACCGGUCCCGCUAAAGAUUUUUACCAGAGAGAGUUUGACUUCUUCAAUAAGAUCACCAACGUAUCUGCCAUCAUCAAGCCCAUCCCUAAGGGAGACGAGAGGAAGAGAGCCUGUCUGAGGGCUCUGUCGGACAUCCAGGUCCAGCCAGGCUGUUACCUACCCAGUAAUGCAGAGGCCAUAGUACUGGACAUAGACUACACGUCUGGGACUCCAAUGCAGAGUGCUGCCAAAGCUCCGGACCUGGCCAAAGUCAAUAGGUAUGGAGUCAGUGAGUUGGAGAAAGAAGGUCUGCAGCGUAGGUCAGACUCCCUGGACAGUGAGGCUGACGGUGAGGAGGAGGUCUAGAGUAUCUGCUGGCAGGCAGCCAUCUUUAAAGUGGGCAACGACUGCAGACAGUACCCCCCCUUCUAGGAGCGGCUCCAGCCGCGGAGCCAGGGCGACCACCACGUAGUUGGUUGAAGUCCCGAACAAGUUCCGGAUCCAGGAUGUCUCGGGCAGACACCCACGCCCGCUCUUUGGGACCGUAGCCCUCCCAGUCCAUCAGGUAGUGCAGGGUUCCUUGGACCCGACGAGCCUCCAACAGAUGCCGGACAGUGUAGGCUGGGCGACCAUCAACAAGUCGAGGGGGCGGAGGGGCAGGUAUAGGGGAGAGAAGGGACUGGUCCUUACCAGCUUGAGACGGGAGACAUUGAAGGAUGGACAGACCCUCAUACACCUGGGAAGCUGGAAACGAUAGAUGACCGGGUUGAUGCGUCUCAGGAUCUUGAAUGGUCUUAUGUACAGUGGUUCUUCCUUUAAAAGUUACGUCGUACUGUAGCACAGCUUGCGGGCUGCCGCAGAAUUCUAUGGCAUGUUCUUUUGUUACCAAAUCACCUUAUACCACCCACUACUGCGACCUGUAUGCUCUAGUCGGCUGGCCCUCGCUACAUAUUCAUCGCCAGACCCACUGGCUCCAGGUCAUCUAUAAGUCUAUGCUAGGUAAAGCUCCACCUUAUCUCAGCUCACUGGUCACGAUAACAACACCCACCCGUAGCACACGUUCCAACAGGUAUAUCUCACUGAUCAUCCCCAAAGCCAACACCUCAUUUGGCCGCCUUUCCUUCCAGUUCUCUGCUGCCAGUGACUGGAACAAAUUGCAAAAAUUGCUGAAGUUGGAGACUUUUAUUUCCCUCACCAACUUUAAACAUCAACUAUCUGAGCAGCUAACCGAUCGCUGCAUCUGUACAUAGUCCAUCUGUAAAUAGACCACCCAAUCUACCUACCUCAUCCCCAUACUGUUUUUAUUUUAUUUACUUUUCUGCUCUUUUGCACACCAGUAUCUCUACUUGCACAUCAUCAUCUGCUCAUUUAUCACUCAAGUGUUAAUCUGCUAAAUUGUAAUUAUUCGCUCCUAUGGCCUAUUUAUUGCCUACCUCCUCAUGCCUUUUGCACACACUGUAUAUAGACUUUCUUUUCUCUACUGUGUCAUUGACUUGUUUAUUGUGUUAUUGGCUUGUUUAUUGUUUUACUCCAUGUGUAACUCUGUUGUUGUCUGUGUCACACUGCUUUGCUUUAUCUUGGCCAGGUCGCAGUUGCAAAUGAGAACUUGUUCUCAACUAGCCUACCUGGUUAAAUAUAGGUGAAAUAAAAAAAUGAAAUAAAAAAUGUAAGUGUCAGCUGUUGUUGCCAUUAAUGCUAGUUAGUGCUAGUUUAACCACCAGAGGGCAUCUUUGAGAAGCGUUUGACUGUUUUUAAUAUUGGCUGUACUAGAGAAUUUAAAACCUUUUUUGUAAGAACAUAGUAUAUGGGAUUGAUUCAUUUGAUUAAUAUUAUGGUGUUUUUCCACAUUUCCACACCCUAAUUGUAGGCUAAACAAUACCCAAAUGGAGCUGCGCGAAACGGUG